GAUGUCGUAGCCGCUGGUAUGGCAUAGGCCCGCAAAGCUGAAGUUGAUGGUUCGAAUCCAUCCGGCAUCA
This 70-nucleotide transfer RNA is filed under the name Lachnospiraceae bacterium. RNAcentral's name for it is "tRNA-Cys". It matches the Rfam family "tRNA". Rfam says of the family: Transfer RNA (tRNA) molecules are approximately 80 nucleotides in length. Lineage: Bacteria; Bacillati; Bacillota; Clostridia; Lachnospirales; Lachnospiraceae. The record is from RNAcentral.